RNAcentral lists this long non-coding RNA (2955 nucleotides) under Homo sapiens (human). RNAcentral's name for it is "HSALNT0045517". Lineage: Eukaryota; Metazoa; Chordata; Mammalia; Primates; Hominidae. The record is from RNAcentral.
GUUGAAUUUAAGUGGAAAAUAUACAGUUGCUCAUUUAAUAGUCUUUCAACUUUUUUCAAAGUUUGGGCAGUUAUAGAAACAAUUUCUUCUAUUUACAAGUUUUUUCCUAGCACAAACCUAUUUAGAUUAAAUCCCCUCGCCAGCCUCUCAGCUAACAUGUUAAAAUUUCCUUCCAGAACUUCAUUAAUCAGCCAGGCUAUAAAAAAGUAACUGUCCAAGGCCCAAGCAUGUCCUUUCAAAAUCUUUUUAGAAUCCACAAAAUAAAUUUUAAAACUUAGUUAUUCUAGCAAGAACACUAGAGAUGUCACUGACUACACUCACUCUGGUUUACUUACUUAUUCCCUCCUGCCUACAAAUCUUGACUGCCUUGCAAACCUAAAUUCUCUAUCAAGUCACAUUAAAUUCCCUCCAUGGCUUCCUAUCCAAAUUUUUUAAAAGGGGAGGAAGGGGUUUCUGUGCCCUGCCUGCCCUCCUCUUCCAGCCGUACCAUAUAACCCACCUAUCGCCAGCUCACAGGUGAGAACACAAUGCUUGAAGACCAGCAUCCCAAGUGGAGCACCAAGCCACCUCCAGCACUCCUGCCCGAGCUGCCAACAUGGCUCCCAACUGUCACAAGAUGCUCUGAGGAUCAGUGCGGGGUCAUCUUACACAUUUUCACAGCUUACUCUCCCCAGGACUUAUGCGGAGCUUUACCCCAAGGUAGACAUUUAAGUAUUUGCUAAGUUGUAUUUCUAGUUACUUCCUAGACAACUGCUGCCUAAAAUCAAAUGCUUUAUAUAUCAUGCUUUAAUUUUAUUAAACAUGUAAGUCCUGCUUAAACAAUGGUCUCAGUGGUUCUCACCCUAGGGAGAUUUUGCUCUCCAAGGGACAUGAGACAAUGUCUGGAGGCAUUUUUGGUUAUUACACUGGGAUGGGGGUGUGCUGCUGGCAUCUCAAUAGGUAGAGGUCAGGAACACUGCUCAAGAUUCUGCAAGGCACAGGACAGCACCCCCACAAUAAUGAAUUAUUUGAUUCAAGAUGUCAAUAAUGCCAAGGUUGAGAAACCCUAGGGUAGCUGUAGUGUUUUCUUUUAACCUUAGGGGAUUUGAGAGCCACUGGAAACCAAAGAGCCAAACUGAACCUAUGUGGCUGCAACUUUUUUAGUUUCUUAUUAAAGAAAAAGUUCUCUGGUUUUUCAACACUAAGUUCCCUUAUUUCGAAAACAACCGAAAGAGCUCAAUUUUGCAAAAAUGGCACAACCACAACAGAGUGCAGUGUGAUAACAAUACAGAGUCAACUAAGAUUAAAAAUUGGUCUACUAAGACUUUAGAUAUAAUACGUUUUAUUCAUCUAGUGGUACUUGGUGCUCACAGGGCACUGUACAACAAAUUUUAAAAAUACAAUAUGAAAAAAAUCAAACAGCCAGAGAUCAAUUCCAUUAGAGGGCGAUGGCCCACAGAAAAACCAACAAAGGCCCACAGAAAAACCCACCCUGUCUCCUUAAGAACAUUUCUUUGUUUGGCUUUAAGAAACACCAAAAGAAAAUACAAAAGAAAAGGUCUUUGAGAAGAUAGGUAAAACUUCACAUAGCGUCUUCCACAUAUCACAAAAUGCUUUCCUUAUUUAAUAAUAAGCACAUAAAAUAAUCCAAAUAUCUGUGAGCCUCUAUUUGGUCCCAAUGUUUUAGGUCAUAGCUUUCACUACUUCCCUCCUCUCUAUCCUCAAAUUAUUUGCAUCAGUAAAAAAAGUUAAUUAAGGUGUAACAGUCUCCUUUGCUCCACAAUGCCACUACAAAGCCUAUUUUCCAUAAAGAACCAGAGGCCAAGCAAACCAGGAACUCCUAAAGUGUCAAUAGGCAGUUUUACUUACAGUAGUAGUUAUAUACUAAUGCUGCUUGCAGAAUUUUUUUUCCCUUUAGAGUUCACAGAAGUACUACCACAUGGAGACAAAACAAAACAGUAAAAAUAGUAUAGGUAGUAAAAAGGCCAAAACUAAGAAAUUUGGGGCCAUAACAUUAGAAAAGUUUGAAAAUAUACUUUACAUAUUUGCUUAAAAAAUUAAGUGUAGUACUGCCUUAAUGCUUGGUUCCUCUACCAUUAAAUGGCAUUUCAUUCAGUUUAUGCUGAACUCUUAGAUCAACUUAUUAUUACUGAAUACAAAGCUAAGCAAACCUAGACAUUUUAGCUGCUGCCACUGUGUAUUAUCACAGUACAUAAGGAAUCUGUCACAAGGUUUGUCUCCCCUUCUCCAUUAUACUGUUCUUAAAGGUAGAGGGCAGGUCUCAUGCACCUUUGCAUCCCCUGCAUAUAAGCACAGUGGCUGGCAUACAGUGGGUGAAUAGGUAUUUACUGAUGCAUUGCUGAGUAGUGGCUUAUAACAUGGAGAAAAGCCCAACAUUGUCCUGUUCUAUCAGCAUUACUUAGGUAUCCUCACUCCUAAUAGGCAGAAAGCAGUUUUGAAGUAAAGUUAAAUUCCUCACUUGCUAAACACAGCAGACCUGUCAAGUGUUGGACAAGACUUAAACCACUUUCUUUAAAUGUGUUCAUAAAGCAUUUUGAGAAAUCAAGAGAUGAAAGGCGCUAUGUAAGUACAAAAUAUUCAAGACAGUUUAGCAAAAGUGCUACUUUUCUACGAUGAUGGAAUGGUUGUGCUAGUUUGAGGGGAACAUCCCCUGAGGCUACUCUUCUUGCUGUCAUUAUUAACACAACAAUGGAAUUUUGACAAAGAUGCCAUCACUUUAUAUAGUUUUUAUUCAGCUAACUACUUUCUAUAAACCAUGUGACAGAAAAUGAAAUUAAGCCACUUAUUCCACAUAAACCAAUACUUUAUCAAAGUUCCGCAUUUUACAAGUCAUGUUCAAAAAACACACACAAAUUAGCAUUUUGUACACAAAUGUUUAUUUCUCAAUUAAACAUUCCCUUUAAACACAAGGAAUGAGUUCUAAAUCUUCAUAAAGAUGAAUUAAAAAUGAAAUCC